UACGUAGGGUGCGAGCGUUGUCCGGAAUUAUUGGGCGUAAAGAGCUCGUAGGCGGUCUGUCGCGUCGUGUCGUGAAAACUUGGGGCUUAACCCUGAGCUUGCGGUCGAUACGGGCAUGACUGGAGUUCGGUAGGGGAGACUGGAAUUCCUGGUGUAGCGGUGAAAUGCGCAGAUAUCAGGAGGAACACCGGUGGCGAAGGCGGGUCUCUGGGCCGAUACUGACGCUGAGGAGCGAAAGCGUGGGGAGCGAACAGG
Molecule: ribosomal RNA, 255 nt
Filed under: uncultured bacterium
Lineage: Bacteria
Description: partial 16S ribosomal RNA
Rfam family: Bacterial small subunit ribosomal RNA
Source: RNAcentral